GAGGAAAGCCCUUUUCUAUUUCCAGCAGGACACACCUAGCAAUAGAUGUGACAUUCAGCACUGCCCAGGUUUCUUCCACUUGGAGGAGGCAAACUGGUAAAUGGAAGGAGGCAAUCCUCUGGCAGUGGGAUGCUAGGGAGCGAUAAUAAGGCAAGUUUGAUUGUUUGAAGGCUGCUGGUAUCCAGGGCUGGAAGCUGGUGGACGUCUCAUGAUGGACCUAACAGUAACUUCUGGCACAAUGGGACACCAUGACAGGAGCCAGAGUGCACAGAAAUGCUGUUUACCUUCCUGUCACAGCGGUACCUAUUUAUCUACUUGCUUUCGAACUGCUAGGUUGGCAGGAGCUGGGACAGAGCAAUGGGAGCUCACCCCAUCACAGGGAUUCAAACCGCCAACCUUCUGAUCAGCAAGCCCAAGAGGCUCAGUGGUUUAGAGCACAGCGCCACCUGCGUCCCCAUAUAUAUGCCCUAUAUCUAUCUGUCUAUCCUCUCUCUCUCUCUCUCUCUCUCUCUCCUCUAUCUAUCUAUCAUCUAUCUAUCUAUAUCUAUAUCUAUAUCUAUAUCUAUAUCUAUAUCUAUAUCUAUAUCUAUAUCUAUAUCUAUAUCUAUCUAUCUAUCUAUCUAUCUAUCUAUCUAUCUAUCUAUCUAUCUUCUAUGCCCUAAAUCAGGAGUAAGGAAUCUCAGACUGUAAGGGGAUGCAGUCCUUUAGACCUUUCUAAAUACAGUGGUACCUUGGUUUACGAACUUAAUCCAUUCUGGAAGUCCGUUCUUAAACCAAAACCAUUCUUAAACCGAGGCGCGCUUUCCCUAAUGAGGCCUCCCGCCGCCGGUGCCCUUCCACCAUUUGGAUUCCAUUCUUAGACUGAGGUAAAGUUCGCAAACCAGGACACUACUUCCGGUUUUGCAGAGUUCAGAAACCGAAUCGUUCGUAAACAGGAACCGAAGUACCACUGUACUUGAAACUCUACCUGGGUCGUGCCCCUUCCUUGGGAUGCAUACCCUUUAUGUUGGCACACCCUUCACCAGUGUUGUUCCCUGCUUCUCAAAGUCCUUUUGCCUGGCUGGAAUGCAUCUCGCUUGAGUAAGAUUGCAAGAUUUGUGCAUAGAAACCAUCGGCUUUUGCAUGGCUGGACCGUAGCCAACUCAAAGGCAUUGUUCCGUCCACAUUUGCUUCUGGGCUCAGCUGCCACUCCCAUGUGGCCCUUGGAACAUUCUCCAGGUGGGAAUGUGGCUCCCAGGAGGUGAAAAAUGUUCCUCACCUCUGCCCUAGACCAUUUAUUGUAUGGGUUGUAGAUAAAUGCCUCUGCACUUUUGAGCAUGUGAGGGUCUUCUGGGCAAACGGAAGCUUAGAUGCAUGAGCUAAACUGAACAUCUGCACACAGUUAGUGUGCUUGAUAUUAAGCAUUUAUUAACUCCAGGCUGGGCCUUUAUCAUCAUCCCCUUACUAGUUGCUCAAAGCAUUUGUGAGCAUUGUUCUGGUUGUUUAGUCGUUUAGUCGUGUCCGACUCUUCGUGACCCCAUGGACCAGAGCACGCCAGGCACUCCUGUCUUCCACUGCCUCCCACAGUUUGGUCAAACUCAUGCUGGUAGCUUCAGGAACACUAUCCAAUCAUCUCGUCCUCUGUCGUCCCCUUCUCCUUCUCCUUGUGCCCUCCAUCUUUCCCAACAUCAGGGUCUUUUCCAGGGAGUCUUCUCUUCUCAUGAGGUGGCCAAAGUAUUGGAGUCUCAGCUUCAUGAUCUGUCCUUCCAGUGAGCACUCAGGGCUGAUUUCCUUAAGAAUGGAUAGGUUUGAUCUUCUUGCAGUCCAUGGGACUCUCAAGAGUCUCCUCCAGCACCAUAAUUCAAAAGCAUCAAUUCUUCGGUGAUCAGCCUUCUUUAUGGUCCAGCUUUCACUUCCAUACAUCACUACUGGGAAAACCAUAGCUUUAACUAUACGGACCUUUGUUGGCAAGGUGAUGUCUCUGCUUUUUAAGAUGCUGUCUAGGUUUGUCAUUGCUUUUUCCCCAAGAAGCAGGCGUCUUUUAAUUUCGUGGCUGCUGUCACCAUCUGCAGUGAUCAUGGAGCCCAAGAAAGUAAAAUCUCUCACUGCCUCCUUUUCUUCCCCUUCUAUUUGUGAGCAUACUGGGCUCCAAAUUCUUACAUCAAACCAAACAUCAGUCUACUCAUCAUAUACUCAAUAGAUGUGUGCUGUUGACCUCUGGCAGAACCUCACAAGACUUAAUUUGAUGCAUUUACCAGUUUUAAUAUAAUUGUAAUGUUUUUGAUUUUUAUUUUCCUGUAAUUCGUAACAGCCGAAAUGCAAUGAUUUCAUUUCUUGAAAGGUAGAAGAAAAGUCUGAAAUCUUUAUAAUGGCUAAAAUAUGUAACUUUAUGGUACAGUUUUAAAAACAAUAAUCAUGAGAUACCAAAUAUCCAUGUGCCAGCCAGACAGUAAAAUGCUAAAUUAUGAGCUUUUAGCCACAGAGAAUGAAAACAGGAGAUUUACUGUCUGGCUGAGAGAUUUUCUCCUUGAGAUAACUGCCAGGAGGGGGCGGGGAAACAUUCUGAAUGCAUCUACUCCCCCCACCCUUAACUUUUAAAGAUAAAUGAUGGACGGCAUUUGGUCAGCUUAAGAAUGUGGAAAGAUCCGUCACCCCAGCACUGAAAUGACAUUUUAAAUGAAUUACAUUGGAGGAAUUGUGUAGAUGUUUGUUUGUUUUUAAAGAAUACCUCUCUGCUAUGCUGAAGUCACAUUUUUAACAUGCUUCUCGGGCAAUAGCUAUAUUUUUUAAAGGUAGCAUGAAAUCAUAGAUCAGCCGUAACAAAAUGUGUUACAAAACAAUGAGACUGACAGCUCUUCAUUGUGUCUCUCAGUAACCAAUGAGUUUACAGCAAGGAAGGAUAAAAUUCAAGGAGUAGCAAUUUAGAAAUUAUGCUAAAUCCUGGCAAAUUGCUAACAUUUCUUAAUUGCUAUAUAAAUCGUCAGAAGGGAUGAUUAUGUUUAAAUCCACUCAUUAAGUACGUAUGCAUGCUGCUUAGGAAUAAUUAUAUUGUUCCAAAUUCUCUUCCAUUUAUAUGGUGUUUGAGAAUUUUAAAUACUAACCCCUCUGCCAGAAGACUAUCAUUUCAUAUAUGAUGUCCAAGAUCUGCUCCUUAGACACUAAGAUAUGCAAUUUCAUGAGUUUCACAGUCAAAUAAAACCAACAAAGAAGAACAGUGCUCAUCUACAUUUAAUUUUAAUGUAACCAUUGGGACAAAAGGCAUACUGAUAAUUAAGAGUCAAGAUACUUUGCUGACUCAGUUGCCAAUGAUUUUCCAAAGUAGUACUGCAUGAACUGUCUGCAACAUUAUCACCCUCUCUUUUGCCCACGGCACCACUAAAUUUACUCUAGGGGUUCUGACUCUUUGAAGCACUUCUGGGGGUGACAUGGGGCAUGGACCGGGGGGGGGGAUGGGAGACAAGAAAGGGAACUUUCCGUUGUGCAAGUGCAAAUCUAACACAAUGAGUGAAUUUGAUGCCGCGCUAGGUUUUCAAAUAUGCUUCCUAUUUUUUUCUGAAAUAAACUAUAAACCACAUGUUAACAUCUGAACAACUUUCACAGUUGCAAAUGUCCAUUCUUUGUGUGGAUCUGAUAUCAAACUGUUGUGUAGUGGUUCAGAGCGGUGGACUCGUAAUCUGGUGAACCGGGUGGUUCACGUCUCUGCUCCUCCACAUGCAGCUGCUAGGUGACCUUAGGCUAGUCACACUUCUCUGAAGUCUCUCGGCCUCACUCACCUCACAGAGUGUUUGUUGUGGGGGAGGAAGGGAAAGGAGAUUGUUAGUCGCUUUGAGACUCCUUAGGGUAGGGAUAAAGCGGGAUAUCAAAUCCAAACUCCUCCUCCUCUUCUUCAUUUACAUGGGUAAGAGGUCCCAUAGUGUUUGAAUAGGGAAGUAUGCAAAAAAACAAAACAAAACAAUACCCUAUACAGUGGUACCUCAGGUUACAUACGCUUCAGGUUACAGACUCCGCUAACUCAGAAAUAGUGCUUUAGGUUAAGAACUUUGCUUCAGGUUGAGAACAGAAAUCGUGCUCCAGCAGUGCAGCAGCAGCAGGAGGCCCCAUUAGCUAAAGUGGUGCUUCAGGUUAAGAACAGUUUCAGGUUAAGUAUGGACCUCCAGAACGAAUUAAGUACUUAACCCAAGGUACCACUGUACAUAACACAUCAGGUAAAGGCUGAGCCCUUUGUCUCUGACGGGAAGGAGUAUUUUAUGAGUAUUUUUAAAAGUAUUUGCUAGUAAUAUGGCAUGUGGGAGUAAUAAUGUAGGAAUUGUGGCAUUAGCUUGAGGGAUGCUGCCAACACAUUGUUGUGUUGGUCAAACUAGUCAACACCAGUACUAGCAGCUGUGCAGAGUAAACAUUUGGAUUCUGCAACUUUUGUGUUUAGAAACCUAAUCUUGGAGGGGGGGAGGUCCCCUCAACUUCCCCUUGGCUGUAACUUCCUUCUAUUUUUUUAAAAAUAGAAAUAAUCUCUGUAUCUUUGUGCAUGCAGUCUUGGACUGGGGAGGUGUAGCCUGGUGCAUCCUAUUUCACAACUGCUAAGAAGAACAACAAAAAUCACAUUUCAGGGUUAAGCUCCUCAUGUUUUUCAAAGCUUUUCAGUGUCAUUGAAGGUCUGCUUGCACAACAGAAUCCUGCUCAAAGAAAGAGGAGUUCCCCUGCUUCUCCUUCCUCAUGCAUUACUUGCAUGUCCCCAAAAAGCUUCUCUAGAGGAGGGCUAGGGCAGCCUCCAGAAAAACUGGGGGGUGGGAGGCUAUUGGAGGGGGGAAGAGAGGAAGGGGAAGUCCCAUUGCACCCAAACGUGUGAUAUUUGACAGUGAUGGAUUGCUUAAGGUAAAUAUAUUUGCUUUGGGUGGUUUAAGCUUAAAAUAAAUCUUGACUUUAGAAAGAAGGAAGUACAGAGAUAAACAUGCCUCUGGUGCAGGAUCUGACAGCACAAAUAGAGUGAGAUUGUGGGUUGAGUUGUAUAUAUACUAAGCUGGAUGCAGGAUUGUGGCAUCCUGACCCAACCUGUUAUGUACUGAAGUUCUCACCCUGGGCCAGCAGGGGGAUACUAUAGAUAGUUUUCACUCAGGUCCACAUAUGCAAAUAAGGAAUUGAAAGUGACGUUCAGUGAUUGGAUAGUUACAGAAAGUUGUUACUGUUGCAUUGUAGUUGAGCUCUAUAUAAGCAGGCUGGCUGAACCCUUCAGCUCAGUUCUGUUCUGGCCUGUGAAUAAAGAAGAGCUGUGUCAUCUGAUAUGUUCACCCACAACUUAACAGAACCCACGUUUGCUGUGCAAUCACUCAAGCAUACUUUUAUAUGUUUUACAUGUACAGUGGAACCUCAGUUUUUGAGCGUCUCAGAAGCCAAACAUUUCGGAACCCGAACACCGAAAACCUGGAAGUAAAUGCUUCCGUUUUCGAAUGCGCCUCGGAAGUCAAACAGCUUCCACUGCGUGUUUUUCAAUUUUCUCAAUGGAAAUUCUUCCGGAACGGAUUACGUUCGACAGCUGAGGUUCUACUGUAUACUUAUAAAUGAUAUUAUAUUUUUACUGUUUUGAUUGUUAGCUAUGAAGAAAAGACACCUAUGCUCUUGUACUCUCCAAAAUGCCAGGUACACUGAUGCUACUAUACAAGCAGACAAAUAAAACUCAUGAAGCUUUAUGCUAGCACACUAAACCGGGACUGAGCAUUGUGUUGUAAGUAGCCGAGGCGCUAAAACUCAGGCCUGAUAUUCUCAGUGCCAAUAGUGUCAUGUGAACAGGCUCUCAGAUGCUUAGCCUACUGUUAUUAAUGGGACCUGUCCAAAACACCAGAGGCUUAACAUGGUUUAAGGGCUUUCUAUUGACCCUCAACUCUGUUCCAAACAUUCUGUCCUGUAGCCUCUGGUACUAUGGGAAAAGAUCAAUAGGAACUAAAAAUACUUCCUCCCUUUUUGUCUCAGAAUAAACUGCUAAAUUUUUAUUAGUAUUUAAUUUUGAAUACAUAUCUCUAACACUACUAAAAUAAAAAGUCGUAAUGUUUAAUUUUGUUAUGACUAUAUUGAGGAGAAAUCAAAUUUCUGAGCAGUAUGAGAUCCCAGCUCUGCAUGUAAGCCAGUAAUUGUUCAACAGGCAGGGAUGAAAAGGGUGACGAAAUCAUCUGCUCCCCAUUCCCAAUAAUUUAUCAGAGCUAUUCAGACUUUGCAGGACAGUACAUGUACUGAUUGGCUAGUGAUCAGGUAGGAAGGGAGAAGUCAGUGUGGAAGCCAUUUGUGUGCAAGAUUCCUUAUUUAGCUAGGAAGAUACUCAUAUUUUAUUCCAGUUCCCUGCUGUUUCCCUAACUGUUAAUUUCAGCAUUGUAUUUGAGAUUCACACAAUGUCCAUGCCACUUUUAGGAAACUAAUGGAAUAUACUGCAUUUUUAGCACUCAUUUUCAUGUUAUUGGAUUUUGUGGGGCUGUGGCGGCAGGGAAUCCUUUUGUAGUCCCCUCAACCUGGAAAGGGACAUGGGUGGCGCUGUGGGUUAAACCACAGAGCCUAGGACUUGCUGAUCAGAAGGUUGGCAGUUCGAAUCCCUGCGAUGGGGUGAGCUCCCGUUGCUCUGUCCCUGCUCCUGUCAACAUAGCAGUUAGAAAGCAUGUCAAAGCGCAAGCAGAUAAAUAGAUACCGCUUUGGCAGGAAGGUAAACGGCAUUUUCAUGCGCUGGUCUGGUUCACCAGAAGCGGCUUAGUCAUGCUGGCCACAUGACCCGGAAGCUGUACGCCUUUUGCGUUAUAAUUACAUUUCCGUGCACCUAAUGAGGUCUGCAAAAGCUUUCUUGCUUUCAUCUUUUCCCAUCCUUCCUACAGUGAUAAGACUCCAUUGUGUCAUUUUCCUGUCACUUACGCAUGUGAUUUUGCUGUGCAUUUUGGCUUUCCAGCACGAAGGCAAGACAUAACUGAGUUUAGUAUCUUAGUAAUGUAGAAAGUGGCAGAAGGGGGGGGGGAGAGAUCUGAUUUAAGGGGAAACUCGUGUCAGUAAGGAGUGUGGAAACCUGACUAAUCACCUGCAGCUCCUCUCCCAGUUAACUUGCCUUAAUUGCAUUUUGAGAUUUGGGGAGAGAGAUUAUGAAUCACUGGACCCAAGUUCAGUAAAGAGGCUUUCAGCUUGCAGACUCACUAAUGAAGCUUUGCAAAAAUUUCCGGGGAGGUAGGCAUUAUUCCAGUAUUACACAUGAAUAAUCUGAAGUCCUGAGAGCUUAAGUAUGAUCUCAAAGCAAUUGGAGUGGCAUGCCGAGACCAGAAGUCACACACACAUCCUUUCUGAAACUGCACAGAAUUGCAAACACAAGCUGCAUGAACCAGAUUGGCAAACAUGUUAUCUGGAGGGGAGGUGGAGAAAUGAGCUAAAAAACGCCACUGUGCCAACAGUCUGAUCCACAACCGGAACUAGAAAUCAGCUGUCUGUGGUAACUCAGACUGAUUCAUAGCCAUGCAUGUUGCUUGCUUACUCUUGGUGAUGGUAGUUCAAUUGAGCCUUGGGAAUUAAUUAGCUAGGUGCAAAUUAAUUGGUUCACAAACAAUGGCCUCUUCAGAAUUUGAAUAUGUGUUUCCCCUGCAUUUAUUUGCUAUAGUGGCAUCCUCUUUUAUUGGAGCUUGGACAAAUAGCUGUUUGUCUGCCUGUGACUAAUGCAAAUCUUAACAUUUGUCUUAAGCAAAAUAUAAUAAUCUGCUUGUUUCAGACAGAAUUUGCGGCUGGGUGCUCUGAACUUAUGCAAGCUUCACUCCAUUAAGUCUGGAUGCUUGGAGACUGCAGCAGAAGGUUCAGCAGGAAGGAUCCAAUAAGGAAAACAAAUAUUUAUUUUUUGCAAGAGUGACCAUAAAAAGGAGGCGGGGAGGGAGAAAAGGAUUUGGCACAACAUUCUUCCAUUUAAUCUCCCCGGCCAAAUCCUCCACUGGCUGAUAAGAACUUUGUUGGCUUGUAAUACUGGCUUGUAAUACUGCAGCUUUUUGAAAUUUGAAUGUGUAUGAUUCAAUCAUGUAUCACACACACAUCUGUUCAACCCUAGGAUUCACUACCUAAAGUGAUGGCAUCAAAUUUGCAGAUGACACCAAACUGGGAGGGGUAGCUAAUGGCGCAGAAGACAGAAUCAGAAUUCAAAAUGACCUUAACAGAUUGGGCGCAAGCUAACAAAAUGAAUUUCAGUACAGACAAAUGUAAGGUUCUGCACUUAGGCAGGAAGAACCAGAUGCACAAGUAUAGGAUGGGGGACACCUGGCUAACUAGCAGUACAUGUGAAAAGGAUCUAGAGGUCUCGGUGGACCACAAGCUGAACAUGAGUCAACACCAGCAAAAAAAGCAGCAAAUAAGCUAAUGCUAUUCUAGGUUGCAUCAACAGAAGUAUAGUGUCCAGAUCAAGGGAAGUAAUAGUACUGCUCUAUUCUGCCUUAGACCACACCUGGAAUACUGUAUUCAAUUCUGGGCACCAUGAUUUAGGAAGGGUGCUGACAAGCUGGAACAUGUACAGAGGAGGGCAACCAAGAUGAUCAAGGGUCUGGAAACUAAGCCUUAUGAGGAACGCUUGAAGGAGUUGGGUACGUUUAGACUGAAAAGGAGGAGACGGAGAGGAGAUAUGAUCGCCAUCUUCAAAUAUCUUAAGGGCUGUCACAUGGAGGAGGGAGCAUGCUUGUUUUCUCCUGCUCUGGGGCCUAGGACUCGAACCAAUGGCUUCAAGUUGCAAGAAAGGAGAUUCCAACUAAACAUUUGGAAAAACUCUGACAGUAAAAGCUGUUCAGCAGUGGAACAGCCUCCCACAAGAGAUGGUGGACUCUUCUUCUCUGCAGAUUUUUCAAACAGAGGUUGGAUGGCCUUCUGUCAUGGAUGCUUUAGCUGAGAUUCCUGCAUUGCAGGGGGUUAGACUAGAUGACCCUUGGGUCCCUUCCAACUCUAAGAGUCUAUGAUUUUAUGAAAUAUGAAAUGUGUUAAGGAGUCCUCACUCUCUUCCCAUUUUUUUAAAAUUGGGGGGGGGGGUUUCAAGUAAAAGCUGCAAAUACUUUGCAAGCAUUUAUUUAUUUUCACUUAUGCCCCAUGUUGCUUAAACAGGAGCGCAAAGAGGUGAACACGGCAACUCUCCCCAGAGGCCAUUUUUCUUCCGAACAACCUGGUGAGGUGGGUUAAGGCAGAGACGGCAAGUCUUCAAGGUUACUCAGUGAGCUACAAGGCCAAGUAAGGAUACAAACUUGAGUCUGCCCAGUCCUAACCCAACACUCUAACCACCGCAGUGUCUCAAAAACCCAUCACUCAUCCACACAUAAGAUUGUACGACUUCAAAAUGCACGUGAACGAUUAGAUAUUUAAAUAUAUCUUCAUGACAACACCUCUCUGCUUGUAGAGGGAUGGUGCAGUUGGAAAAAAGCUUAAUUGUUUUUUAAAAUGGUAGAUUCUCAUUUCUACAUGAUCUCUAUCCAUGCAUUCUGAGGUGGUAGAGGCCUGUGAGGAUUGCAAAGGCUGGUGAGGAUUAUAUCAUGUGCCAACAUCUGAGCUGGGUCUAAUUAAGGUCACUGCGAGGAGGUGCCUGCCAUUAGCUCAUGAUGUUGUGAGUAUUUGCCGGAAGUUUCCCCAGCAACCAUGUUUGGGCUGGAGGGCAUGCCUCCUCUCCUAGCAUGCACAGAUAAAACAGAAACACUGAGAGGAUGGCGUGGGAUUGAGGAUGAGAGAGGGGGCAGCUAAGGAUACAGCUGUAGGAAAAGCCCCAUUGUGUCUGGCGUUUUCAGCCGUCAGGCUCAGACAGGCAAGGAGGAGGGUGGCUCCAACUGUAUCAAAGCUGCAGGCAGUGCAGUGUUGACAGACUAAGAAAGAAUGCACUCAGCGUAUUUUUACUUUUAAUUUUUCUUAUUCUACUUGUUGCAUUCUCAAUGUAUUUUUAAUUCUAAUUUUCCUUAUUCUACUUGUUGCAUUCUCAACAUAUUUUUAAUUUUAAUUUUCCUUAUUCUACUUCUUGCAUUCUCAGUGUAUUUUUAAGUGUAAUUUUCCUCAUUCUAGUUGUCAAUUCAGUGCGAUUCUGUUACUAUUGAUUUUGACAGCUCGAUGACUAAGCUCUAUAGCGUCAAAAAGUCAGAUUACCGGAACAACGUCCGAGCACUGAACCACUGGUAUAUCACAAGUGGACCCUUUAUUACUGCGUUUGCAAUUGUUCAAGAAAUAAUCCAUUUUGGAACGAGAAGAAAUGAGCACUGAACCACUGAUACAUAUAUUACAAUCGAAUACUGUGUUUGCUAUCGUUUUGGUCACUGCACACGUUAUGAUGCUAUAUACUCAAGGGC
RNAcentral lists this long non-coding RNA (10277 nucleotides) under Podarcis lilfordi (Lilford's wall lizard). Lineage: Eukaryota; Metazoa; Chordata; Lepidosauria; Squamata; Lacertidae. The record is from RNAcentral.